RNAcentral lists this small RNA (30 nucleotides) under Bombyx mori (domestic silkworm). Its description in RNAcentral is "ovarian small RNA-3266". The record is from RNAcentral. Lineage: Eukaryota; Metazoa; Arthropoda; Insecta; Lepidoptera; Bombycidae.
UCAUCCUGGCCCGCUUGCGGAAGACCGCAC